Panthera uncia (snow leopard) is the source of this 324-nucleotide long non-coding RNA. RefSeq lists it as uncharacterized. The transcript is spliced from 3 exons. NCBI's taxonomy places the organism in Eukaryota, Metazoa, Chordata, Mammalia, Carnivora, Felidae. The record is from RefSeq and is a predicted model, not a curated record.
GAUAUCUGUGUAGAUGUGCAGCUGACCUAGAGUGCCACCAGCAAAGCAUGGAACAACUCUGGAAGGCAAAGAGGGUUAAAUGUUGGCAGAGCUGUCAGCACAGAGCCCAAUGCAGGGCUCGAACCCACAGUGUGAGAUCAUGACCCGAGCCAAAGACGGACACUUAACCGACUGAGCCACCCAGGCACCCUGGUAAUAAAGCCUUCAUACAAACCCAAAAGGACAUGAUUUGGAGAACUUCCAGGCAGGUGAACAAGAGUACCCCACUGCACCCCAAACUCCCUGGUGACAGCAGCUCUGUGCUCAAUACCCUUCUGGACCUCA